RNAcentral lists this ribosomal RNA (1026 nucleotides) under Vibrio cyclitrophicus. RNAcentral describes it as "partial 23S ribosomal RNA". It matches the Rfam family "Bacterial large subunit ribosomal RNA", at positions 398 to 1426 of the family's 2925-position model. The record is from RNAcentral. RNAcentral also lists the same sequence under 2 other names. Lineage: Bacteria; Pseudomonadati; Pseudomonadota; Gammaproteobacteria; Vibrionales; Vibrionaceae.
AUCAGUGAAAACGAGUAGGGCGGGACACGUGAUAUCCUGUCUGAAUAUGGGGGGACCAUCCUCCAAGGCUAAAUACUACUGACUGACCGAUAGUGAACCAGUACCGUGAGGGAAAGGCGAAAAGAACCCCUGUGAGGGGAGUGAAAUAGAACCUGAAACCGUGUACGUACAAGCAGUAGGAGCACCUUCGUGGUGUGACUGCGUACCUUUUGUAUAAUGGGUCAGCGACUUAAUUUUAGUAGCAAGGUUAACCGUUUAGGGGAGCCGUAGGGAAACCGAGUCUUAACUGGGCGUACAGUUGCUAGGAUUAGACCCGAAACCAGGUGAUCUAGCCAUGGGCAGGUUGAAGGUUGAGUAACAUCAACUGGAGGACCGAACCGACUAAUGUUGAAAAAUUAGCGGAUGACUUGUGGCUAGGGGUGAAAGGCCAAUCAAACCUGGAGAUAGCUGGUUCUCCCCGAAAGCUAUUUAGGUAGCGCCUCGGACGAAUACUACUGGGGGUAGAGCACUGUUAAGGCUAGGGGGUCAUCCCGACUUACCAACCCUUUGCAAACUCCGAAUACCAGUAAGUACUAUCCGGGAGACACACGGCGGGUGCUAACGUCCGUCGUGGAGAGGGAAACAACCCAGACCGCCAGCUAAGGUCCCAAAGUAUAGCUAAGUGGGAAACGAUGUGGGAAGGCUCAGACAGCCAGGAUGUUGGCUUAGAAGCAGCCAUCAUUUAAAGAAAGCGUAAUAGCUCACUGGUCGAGUCGGCCUGCGCGGAAGAUGUAACGGGGCUAAGCUAUACACCGAAGCUGCGGCUACGUACCUUAGGGUAUGUGGGGUAGGGGAGCGUUCUGUAAGCCGUUGAAGGUGGUCUGUAAGGGCUGCUGGAGGUAUCAGAAGUGCGAAUGCUGACAUGAGUAACGAUAAAGGGAGUGAAAAACUCCCUCGCCGGAAGACCAAGGGUUCCUGUCCAACGUUAAUCGGGGCAGGGUAAGUCGACUCCUAAGGCGAGGCCGAAAGGCGUAGUCGAUGGGAAAC